Vigna angularis (adzuki bean) is the source of this 729-nucleotide RNA transcript. It is a transcript of the gene named peroxisomal nicotinamide adenine dinucleotide carrier-like, with no coding region annotated. The record is from RefSeq and is a predicted model, not a curated record. Lineage: Eukaryota; Viridiplantae; Streptophyta; Magnoliopsida; Fabales; Fabaceae. The transcript has 5 exons.
UCACGGUUUCCUUCGGCACUAAGAAAUUCUUUCUCGCGCUCCCCACUCGAAUUCCUUUCGCGCUCUUUCCACGAAGUUCAACACUGAAAACCUCUUUGCAUCACUUAACAGACCAUCUGCUUGAUUGACGUUCAAUCGAAGGUCAUUCGACGUUAACUCGAAGGAGACGAAGCUCGGUGGAGAAUGUCCGUUUUGAUUCACUGUGUAGAGGACCCUGAUAUCUCCACCUAAUGGAUUGUUGGACACAACAAAUUCCUCUAAUAAGCUCGUCUCCUGCAAAGACAAGGUCAAUCCACCAGUGAAUUUGUUAUUCCUAAGGUCCACAAGGUCAGAUUCUUAGAGUGCCAGAUAACAUUUCAAGUUCCGGUGGAGAAACCAAGAUUGACAUUGCAAAGUGGAAGCGCAAGGCAUUUACUACUAUUUCUAUCAAGUUUUCAAGAACGAGGCAGUGGCGAUUACAGCUGCACGGAAAUUGAAAAAGCAUGGAAAUGGUCCUUGAAUGUGUUGCUGACAAAUCCAAUAUGGGUUUUAGUAACUCCGAUGCAGGUGCUUUCAGAUGCUUUUAUUUUCUUCCUGGACUGUUUCAUAUGAUUAUAUGUUGUCAAACAUAAUUCUGGUUGCUUUUCAUUUGAUCUUUUUCUUUUCUAUUUUAUUAAUACGGUCAUUUACAUGGAGGCAUUAUGUAUGUUAAGUUAAUUUUAGUUUAUAGAGAUGUUAAUUUUAUUUUUA